AUGGAUGUCAAUAGAGCCCCAGGGCCUGAUAAAAUUCCUGCUGAAUUUUAUCAGUGUUGCUCGGAUAUUGUCAAAAAUGACAUCAUGCGACUGUUUGAUAGCUUUCAUAAGGUUACCCUUGAUGUCCAGCGUCUUAAUUAUGGCAUCAUUACAUUACUUCCUAAAAUCUCGGGGGCGGACCGCAUCCAACAAUUUCGCCCGAUUUGCCUCCUCCGUUGCCCCUACAAGUUGAUCACCAAAGUUAUGGAUAGAAGAGUGGCUAAGUAUGCUGACAUUCUUAUCAGUCCCACCCAGAAUGCCUUUGUUAAAGGCAGAAGUAUAAUGGAUGGGGUGCUAGCCCUCCAUGAACUUCUGAAUUAUACUCAUGUCAAGCAGAGAGUUGGGGUGAUUCUAAAACUCGAUUUCGAAAAGCGUACGACAAAGUCAAUUGGGACUUCCUGUUGGAGUGUCAUGAACUCCAAGGUUUUGAUUCUAAAUGGUGUGGUUGGGUAA
This 492-nucleotide ribosomal RNA is filed under the name Triticum aestivum (bread wheat). RNAcentral's name for it is "partial small subunit ribosomal RNA". The record is from RNAcentral. Lineage: Eukaryota; Viridiplantae; Streptophyta; Magnoliopsida; Poales; Poaceae.